UGCAGUCGAAGCUUCUUUUUCCCCGGAGCUUGCUCCACCGGAAAAAGAGGAGUGGCGAACGGGUGAGUGACACGUGGGUAACCUGCCCAUCAGAAGGGGAUAACACUUGGAAACAGGUGCUAAUACCGUAUAACAAUCGAAACCGCAUGGUUUUGAUUUGAAAGGCGCUUUCGGGUGUCGCUGAUGGAUGGACCCGCGGUGCAUUAGCUAGUUGGUGAGGUAACGGCUCACCAAGGCCACGAUGCAUAGCCGACCUGAGAGGGUGAUCGGCCACAUUGGGACUGAGACACGGCCCAAACUCCUACGGGAGGCAGCAGUAGGGAAUCUUCGGCAAUGGACGAAAGUCUGACCGAGCAACGCCGCGUGAGUGAAGAAGGUUUUCGGAUCGUAAAACUCUGUUGUUAGAGAAGAACAAGGAUGAGAGUAACUGUUCAUCCCUUGACGGUAUCUAACCAGAAAGCCACGGCUAACUACGUGCCAGCAGCCGCGGUAAUACGUAGGUGGCAAGCGUUGUCCGGAUUUAUUGGGCGUAAAGCGAGCGCAGGCGGUUUCUUAAGUCUGAUGUGAAAGCCCCCGGCUCAACCGGGGAGGGUCAUUGGAAACUGGGAGACUUGAGUGCAGAAGAGGAGAGUGGAAUUCCAUGUGUAGCGGUGAAUGCGUAGAUAUAUGGAGGAACACAGUGGCGAGGCGGCUCUCAGUCUGAACUGACCUGAGCUCGAAGCGUGGGAGCAACAGAU
RNAcentral lists this ribosomal RNA (737 nucleotides) under uncultured bacterium. RNAcentral describes it as "bacterial SSU rRNA". It matches the Rfam family "Bacterial small subunit ribosomal RNA", at positions 56 to 778 of the family's 1533-position model. The record is from RNAcentral.